ACCUGGGUGGCUCAGUAGGUUAAGCAUCUGACUUCGGCUCAGGUCAUGAUCUCACGGUCCGUGGGUUCAAGCCCCACAUCGGGCU
Molecule: transfer RNA, 85 nt
Filed under: Felis catus (domestic cat)
Lineage: Eukaryota; Metazoa; Chordata; Mammalia; Carnivora; Felidae
Rfam family: tRNA
About the family: Transfer RNA (tRNA) molecules are approximately 80 nucleotides in length. Their secondary structure includes four short double-helical elements and three loops (D, anti-codon, and T loops).
Source: Rfam by way of RNAcentral